CCCUAAUGCGCCUCGAAAUGAGGAACUCAAAAGUCACGUGUAAAGAAAAAAUUUCUGUGUAGUGAUAUUGGACAUGUUUCUAUUUUUAACAAAUGACUGAACUUAAUUAUUUGUGGUGAUUAGGAAAGUAGAGGAACAUAGAAUAAAUGUGUAAAAACUAUGGAGCUAUUGAAUGUGUUCAAAGUAUUAAAUUUUCAAAGAACUUAUUGUGUUAAAAAGGGGAUAUUUUACCACAAGGAGCCGCA
This 245-nucleotide long non-coding RNA is filed under the name Mytilus galloprovincialis (Mediterranean mussel). The record is from RNAcentral. Lineage: Eukaryota; Metazoa; Mollusca; Bivalvia; Mytilida; Mytilidae.